AUUGAACGCUGGCGGCAGGCCUAACACAUGCAAGUCGAGCGGUAGAGAGAAGCUUGCUUCUCUUGAGAGCGGCGGACGGGUGAGUAAUGCCUAGGAAUCUGCCUGGUAGUGGGGGAUAACGUUCGGAAACGGACGCUAAUACCGCAUACGUCCUACGGGAGAAAGCAGGGGACCUUCGGGCCUUGCGCUAUCAGAUGAGCCUAGGUCGGAUUAGCUAGUUGGUGAGGUAAUGGCUCACCAAGGCGACGAUCCGUAACUGGUCUGAGAGGAUGAUCAGUCACACUGGAACUGAGACACGGUCCAGACUCCUACGGGAGGCAGCAGUGGGGAAUAUUGGACAAUGGGCGAAAGCCUGAUCCAGCCAUGCCGCGUGUGUGAGGAAGGUCUUCGGAUUGUAAAGCACUUUAAGUUGGGAGGAAGGGUUGUAGAUUAAUACUCUGCAAUUUUGACGUUACCGACAGAAUAAGCACCGGCUAACUCUGUGCCAGCAGCCGCGGUAAUACAGAGGGUGCAAGCGUUAAUCGGAAUUACUGGGCGUAAAGCGCGCGUAGGUGGUUUGUUAAGUUGGAUGUGAAAUCCCCGGGCUCAACCUGGGAACUGCAUUCAAAACUGACUGACUAGAGUAUGGUAGAGGGUGGUGGAAUUUCCUGUGUGGCGGUGAAAUGUUUUUUAUUUCUGAAGGCACAUCAGUGUCGAAAUCCGCCCUCUGGACC
RNAcentral lists this ribosomal RNA (713 nucleotides) under uncultured Pseudomonas sp. RNAcentral describes it as "bacterial SSU rRNA". It matches the Rfam family "Bacterial small subunit ribosomal RNA", at positions 28 to 735 of the family's 1533-position model. Lineage: Bacteria; Pseudomonadati; Pseudomonadota; Gammaproteobacteria; Pseudomonadales; Pseudomonadaceae. The record is from RNAcentral.